This 91-nucleotide transfer RNA is filed under the name Candidatus Giovannonibacteria bacterium RIFCSPLOWO2_01_FULL_44_16. RNAcentral describes it as "tRNA-Ser". It matches the Rfam family "tRNA". From Rfam's summary of the family: Transfer RNA (tRNA) molecules are approximately 80 nucleotides in length. Lineage: Bacteria; Candidatus Giovannoniibacteriota. The record is from RNAcentral.
GGAGGCGUGGCUGAGCGGUUGAAAGCAGCACACUGCUAAUGUGUUAACCCCCAAAAGGGGUUCGGAGGUUCGAAUCCUCCCGCCUCCGCCA